GACGAACGCUGGCGGCGUGCCUAAUACAUGCAAGUCGAGCGAUGAUUAAAGAUAGCUUGCUAUUUUUAUGAAGAGCGGCGAACGGGUGAGUAACGCGUGGGAAAUCUGCCGAGUAGCGGGGGACAACGUUUGGAAACGAACGCUAAUACCGCAUAACAAUGAGAAUCGCAUGAUUCUUAUUUAAAAGAAGCAAUUGCUUCACUACUUGAUGAUCCCGCGUUGUAUUAGCUAGUUGGUAGUGUAAAGGACUACCAAGGCGAUGAUACAUAGCCGACCUGAGAGGGUGGUCGGCCACACUGGGACUGAGACACGGCCCAGACUCCUACGGGAGGCAGCAGUAGGGAAUCUUCGGCAAUGGGGGCAACCCUGACCGAGCAACGCCGCGUGAGUGAAGAAGGUUUUCGGAUCGUAAAACUCUGUUGUUAGAGAAGAACGUUAAGUAGAGUGGAAAAUUACUUAAGUGACGGUAUCUAACCGGAAAGGGACGGCUAACUACGUGCCAGCAGCCGCAGUAA
Molecule: ribosomal RNA, 515 nt
Filed under: uncultured bacterium
Lineage: Bacteria
Description: partial 16S ribosomal RNA
Rfam family: Bacterial small subunit ribosomal RNA
Source: RNAcentral